UGGGGAAUAUUGCACAAUGGGCGAAAGCCUGAUGCAGCGACGCCGCGUGAGGGAUGACGGCCGUCGGGUUGUAAACCUCUUUCAGCAGGGACGAAGCGCAAGUGACGGUACCUGCAGAAGAAGCACCGGCUAAGUACGUGCCAGCAGCCGCGGUAAUACGUAGGGUGCAAGCGUUGUCCGGUAUUACUGGGCGUAAAGAGUUCGUAGGCGGUUUGUCGCGUCGUUUGUGAAAACCAGCAGCUCAACUGCUGGCUUGCAGGCGAUACGGGCAGACUUGAGUACUGCAGGGGAGACUGGAAUUCCUGGUGUAGCGGUGAAAUGCGCAGAUAUCAAGAGGAACACCGGUGGCGAAGGCGAGUCUCUGGGCAGUAACUGACGCUGAGGAACGAAAGCGUGGGUAGCGAACAGG
Molecule: ribosomal RNA, 409 nt
Filed under: Acidobacteriota bacterium
Lineage: Bacteria; Pseudomonadati; Acidobacteriota
Description: Acidobacteria bacterium partial 16S ribosomal RNA
Rfam family: Bacterial small subunit ribosomal RNA
Source: RNAcentral